Molecule: long non-coding RNA, 1870 nt
Organism: Setaria italica (foxtail millet)
Lineage: Eukaryota; Viridiplantae; Streptophyta; Magnoliopsida; Poales; Poaceae
Exons: 3
Source: RefSeq, a predicted model, not a curated record
CUCUCCGCCACCGCCCCGCCUCUAAACCGCUCCCCAAGCCAACCGCCGGUCCCCGUUGCCCCUCUCUCCUCCCUCCCCACGGCUCCCUCCCGCCGCUACCUUCGGCGCGCCGGCUACCUCCUCCGCGCCGGCGGCCGCAGCCCCCUCCUCCCCGGCGCGGCGGCCCAGCGGACCUCCUCCUCCCCGACGGCGGCCGCAACCCCCUCCUCCUCGGCGCGGCAGCCGCAGCCCCCUCCUCCCCGGCGCGGCGGCCCGGCGGCCUCCUCCAGGCGUGGUGUCCUCCUCCCAUGCCUCCUCCUUUCUCUAAGAUGGCGCAAGUCUGCGCCCGCUCUCGAUGCCGUUCGCCUCGUCUGCCUCUAGCUUUGCCGGCCUCCUGUAGCAAUCGGUAGGAUAGGGGUUAUUUUGCAGUCUUGCGGUGCGGGACUCCAACCUCUGUAUUUGCCGUUCAGGGGCUUUUGGCGAUCCGCGGUGCGGAUAGCCUACGCAUCCUCUGGAACCCUAGGCACGCCGCCGCCAUAGCCACGUCGCAAUCCCCACCGUGGUCGCAGCCGCCAUGGCGCGUUCAGACGGACGGGAUCCCUUCGCAGCGCGUAUCCGGAGGAGCGCACCCCCACUUUCCCUGGUUUUCCAUGGAUCCGCCGUCAAGGGUCGUCGAUCUGCAUAGGGCAGGCGUGCAUCUUGCCGGAGGAGCCGGAACCGGCCCUGGCUUUCCAUGGCGGUGAAGGACUUCGGCCGCUCCCAUCUGUCAAGGUUAGUUCAUCUGCCGACGGUCUGCUAUGCAGGGGCCGUCCGUUGUCUAUCGGUUCCUCUCUCGGUGCUGCUCCCAUCUGUCAUGGCUUUUCCCUGUAGAUCUACUGCUACAUCUGUACAACUGAGAAGUUUGGUGACAAGACUUGCAUGCCUUUAUUUACUUAACUUUUAAUAAUAUAAAUCUGUCUGUUCCUUUUAAUAUAUGUUGUGACACUACAACAAUGUUUGGCACAGCUUCCUUCUACGGAGGACGAGGGCGGAUUCUGGUUAGAAGUCUGCUUCUGUUCCUCUAUUUAAUUUCAGUUUCACUUAAGUUGCUGCAUAAUGCGGAUGAGAGGUAGCACUUUACAAAUUUUUUUGUGUCGAGAAAAUGCAGUACAUUUUUGCCAAACAUUCUUAUGUUAUUGACACUAGAGAAUAAAAGAAGUUAUACUACAACUUAACAAGGAGUUUGUAAAUAUGGUGGAUGCUCAAAAAGUACAAUAAACAGAGGCUUUUAAGUAUUUGUAUGAUUUAUAUUGUAUGCUAACAAGGAUGUGAUCCUUGUAGAUUCCUACAUGCAAUUUUUUUGGGGUGUUUGGUUUGAUAGAUGAACCCAUUCUACAUUGUCUUGCUCAUUAUGAGUUCAUCUUAUGAAUUGUGAUGGAAUGACUUCAUUACUAAUGUUUAUACUAAUUAUGUGUAUGUGAGGAAUGAAGUGAUGCUGCAUUAAAGUUUUGCAUUCCUCAAGGAGAUUUGGAUGUGAGGAGGAGUGGUGGAUUUUUAGCAAUGUUAUCGAUGAUCCAAGAUUUCCUGCUGCUCUUCCUAGCUUGAGAUAUCAGUUGGUUGGGGAGCGUGGCUGUUGUCAUUUCAAACCAUUGAUAAUCCUGUGGCCUUCGCGCAUGCUUGGCUCAAGUGUUUGAAGGAGGCUAGGCCAUGGGAAGCGUGGGCCAUCUAUUCCUAUUAUUCCUAUUAGCACAACUGUUAUCAAUUCCAAGUUUCAGAUUCACCACUGUUAGCUAUGCACUUCAGAAGCCUACUUAUUGGAACCACAAGCAAAAAGGAUGUUUAAGACUCAUGAUGUAGUAAAUCCAUAAAUUUUAUGGAAUGCAAAAUAAAAAAAAGAGUAGAAUUGACACAA